This 1591-nucleotide long non-coding RNA is filed under the name Bos grunniens (domestic yak). RNAcentral's name for it is "lncRNA (ENSBGRG00000026104.1)". Lineage: Eukaryota; Metazoa; Chordata; Mammalia; Artiodactyla; Bovidae. The record is from RNAcentral.
CUCCCUCCCUCAGGACCAGCCCGGAAGUCUCUCCAAGAGCCCCAAAGUCCAGGAAUCCCCACCAAAGGAUUCAGAAACAGAGCACACAGUCCGGGGCCCCUCUGAACGGUGGGUACGAGUUUAAGGAGCUGCCGGCCUAGAGUGGGGUGGGGACUGACAAAUGAGCCGGGGGCACUGGGGAGGGUAGGAGGCCGGGCCUCGGCUCUUCCCCCGUCCCUGCGGCACUGCUGCUGCAUCAUACCGACUGGGGGGAGGAGAGCCGAGCCGCCGGAGGCCGGCGCCGGUCCGGGACAGACCGACCCCUAGAGAGUGGGCAGAGUGGGACACGUCCCGACCCCUCUUCUUCCCCGCCCGCCGACAGCCCCGGCCGGCCGGGGAGAGGAGUCCGGGAGGGUGUCUCUAUUGUCCCGGGGGCUGGGGCCUGGCUCCCUAACAAAGGCCCCGCGCCCCCUCCCCGGCCGGCCCUGCCCCGCCCAGGGGGGACCCAGACAGGGGGAGAGCUGGGGGCCCCGGCCGGGCCGGGAAGCCGGGGGAAGCCGGGCGUUUCCGCGUCGGCCCGGGGGGAGGGGAAGGGGCGCUGACCCAGACCUGGGGGGAGGGGGCCCAAGCCCCGCCUCGGGCCCCGCCCCCCGCCCCCCGCAGGCCCCUCCCCCGUCCCCGUCUCCGUCCCGUACUCACCCCGCCCGGGGGGCCGCGCCGGGGCCCGGCGGCCUCUCAGGGCCGCGUCCUCCGGCGGCGGCGGCGGCGGCGGCUGCUCCGGAGCCCCAUGUCCGUCGGUCCGUCCUCGCCUCUCCCCGGGGCCCAGGGCCCGGGGCCGGGGGGUCGGGCCGCCCCCCCGCCUCGCCGCCUCACCGGGCGGCCAUGGCCCCUUCCCCUCCCUUCUCGUCCCGUCGCCGCCUCCUCCUCCUCACCUCACCCCGCCCGCGCGCAGUCCGCGCGCCGUCCGCGCGCCCCUCCCCCCGCCCCCCACUCCAGCCCGCCUCUCCCGGGCGGGGGGUGCGGCGCGAGCCCGGAGCGCGCGCGCGUGCCGCGACCGGAGGAUGGAUGGAUGGAGCGAGCGAGAACGCGAGCGUGCGCGCGCGCGCCCCUCUCCCCCUCCCUUCGCGCGGGCGCGAGGCCAAGCGCGAGCGCGCUCCAACCUCCUCCUCUUCCUCCUCCCGCCCCUCCUCAACACCCCGCCCCCGCCCUCCCUUCCUCUUCCUUCUUUCGCUUUCGCGCGCCCAGCGACUGCUCGCGCCUGCUAGAAGGGCCCGAGCGCGUGCAUCUGCCCGGCGGCCGCAGCUCGGCAGCAUUUGCUCCAGGGGGCGGGGACCGGGCGGGGAGGAGGGGCGCCACGCCGCCGUCCAAAGUACCGGCGGACGGGGACGGGGGCGGGGAUAUGGGCGGGGCCUUCGGGAGCCACCUCGCCCAAUCGCUGUCUCGCCUCGGCCCGGCCGGCCCAAUAGGAUUUCGGUGGGUGGAGCGGCGUUCAAGCCUGCCAGGCGGUGGCCAGACCCUUCCUCCGACCCAGUUCUUCUCCCCUGUGUGUACCCAUAUCCGCGCGCUCUCACAGUCCUUUUCUGGAGCAAAGGGCCUUUCCCAGCCGCCGUAA